RNAcentral lists this ribosomal RNA (483 nucleotides) under Paenibacillaceae bacterium CL2.38. RNAcentral's name for it is "bacterial SSU rRNA". It matches the Rfam family "Bacterial small subunit ribosomal RNA", at positions 17 to 495 of the family's 1533-position model. Lineage: Bacteria; Bacillati; Bacillota; Bacilli; Caryophanales; Paenibacillaceae. The record is from RNAcentral.
CCCUGGCUCAGGACGAACGCUGGCGGCGUGCCUAAUACAUGCAAGUCGAGCGGAGCACUUCGGUGCUUAGCGGCGGACGGGUGAGUAACACGUAGGCAACCUGCCUAUAAGACUGGGAUAACUAUCGGAAACGAUAGCUAAGACCGGAUAACUGGUUUUCUCGCAUGAGAGAAUCAUGAAACACGGAGCAAUCUGUGGCUUAUAGAUGGGCCUGCGGCGCAUUAGCUAGUUGGUAGGGUAACGGCCUACCAAGGCGACGAUGCGUAGCCGACCUGAGAGGGUGAACGGCCACACUGGGACUGAGACACGGCCCAGACUCCUACGGGAGGCAGCAGUAGGGAAUCUUCCGCAAUGGACGCAAGUCUGACGGAGCAACGCCGCGUGAGUGAUGAAGGUUUUCGGAUCGUAAAGCUCUGUUGCCCUAGACGAAUAGCAAGGUGAGUAACUGCACUUUGUGUGACGGUAUAGGAGAAGAAAGCCCCG